RNAcentral lists this non-coding RNA (52 nucleotides) under unclassified sequences. RNAcentral's name for it is "pemK RNA". It matches the Rfam family "pemK RNA". The record is from RNAcentral.
AUAAUGAUACUUCGAGCUGGCGGAGAACCCGGCAGAGGUGAAAUUCCUAUGA